Molecule: long non-coding RNA, 2098 nt
Organism: Tachysurus vachellii
Lineage: Eukaryota; Metazoa; Chordata; Actinopteri; Siluriformes; Bagridae
Exons: 3
Source: RefSeq, a predicted model, not a curated record
UGGUGUUCCUGGUGUUCCUGGGAUAGGUGCAGCAUCCACUACAACCCUGAUCAUCGAUAAAGUGAAUCUCGAAAGUGAGUGACUGAGGCACCCAGCUCAGAUUUUUCUCAUCCUCCUUCUGACUGUCAUUGAUGUGAGAAACGUGGACAAUGCUGAUCCAAAGUGACAUGUGUCUUCCAUCCCGGGACGGCGUCCAUGGCUGCAGCCCAGCCUCCGUUCCUCUGUACUGGGCUGUUUUUGUUCACAGCAACUCAUGCGGAUAAUUUGCUGGGAUGGAGUGGAGGGCUGUCACAAGGACUCGGCUCAAGGGGUGUGGGAAAACUAGCAGAAGCAUCUUCUAUGUUCAAAUGUAUCCUGUAAUGACAAUGGAAAAGUGUGAACUUCUGUCUGUUGUUCAGUCUGUUGUUGUUGUUUUUAAUGUUUUUUCUUUAUUGUUCUGUUUUUAUUGUUUAUGUCAUUUCUUCUCCUCUCCUGACUUUUUCUUGCGUAUUGGUAGAAUAAUGCAUCUGACAAGGUUCCUUUAGAUCAUAGUCUGUUUGGAUAUGUCGUGUGUGUAUGUGUGUUUACUUUAAAGCCGGAAAAUAUUAAUACACUCUAUGACAGUAAACCCAUGUGACUCUAUUACAGCAGUAGAAAUGCAGCUUUGGUGUCGAUCACUACGCACACUGCUUUUGAUAUCAUGUAUAAUUCAUACUUCCUCAGCCUACAUACACAUUAUUCCACAUAUCCUGACCUACAGUAGAGAAUGAAGUUUUCCAUAUUGGAAAUGCUGACCAGUUCUUAAGAACAUGAUAGGUGGUGAAAUCUUCCCUUAAUGUUAUCCAUCCGUUGCACUGCUACUAGGUUUUCAUCUGAUGGCUUAACUUAGAGAACAGUUACUCGUUCUUUCUGUGAUUUUCUUUUUCAGCGAGCACUCACACUUCGGGUCUGUGAGUCACACAGGAGCCAUAGCCAGCUCUUCCAUCUUCCAGCUCUCAGCUCUAUUGCAGCAUCUCUGUGAUUUUUAACAAGUCCCUAAGCCACGCACUCCAAGCUGCACAAAUCCCAGAGGAGCAGCAGGUGGAGGAACAUCCUUACUGCAACUUUCUCUGAGGUUUGUGACAGGUUUGUGCCCAUGCUAGUGGAUCACAGGGGGGCACCGGUGUUCCACUAUUCCACAACAAUGCCUAAAAACAUGCUGUGGAUGGCCUGUGUAGCACCUUGCCAAGCAGGGUCACUGACACAAGCAAGCCAAUCAUAGGCUUUUAACAUGGAGAGAGGGACAGAGAAGCUUGCUAGAAAGAAAAUGGGAUAAAGCACUCUCCCAAAAAUAGGCCUCCCCGGGCCAUUGUAGCAAAGGACGGAGUGACAUUGUGGACGACGCUAACAUCUGUGUAUAACCUCACAUUUACAAACGCCCCCUUUGCCUAAGUUUGAGCCAGACUCCGCCACCAGCCUCCAAGGAACAGCCAUUUUGGAACGCUUUCCCCGACACAGAUGUUGCAUAUUAAAAAGUGGGGCUGUUUAAGAGAGGAAGAGCAGGCAGGAAAGGGAGGACUGUUCUCCGUGGGUUUCACCUGUGCCGUCAUCCGAGAAGCCAAUCCAUGAGAGGAAGCUGACUAACCAACCAAAGGCAAAGUGACAACAAUGAUAAAGUCAUCUCAUUUCCUGUCUGACCCUGAGCAGGUAGAGAUGCGGACAAAUGACUCCACUCUUGAGAUUCUCUUGUUUACCUCUGAUCUUCCUUCUUCUUUUUUCAACUUUUUGUUGCCGAUUAUGUCUAGACCUUUAAAAAUAUACAGAUUGCUUCAUGCCUUCAUUAUCAGCAAUCUUUUAUUUCAUCACUCUUAUAAAUGUAAAGUUAUUCUUUAGCUGCUCCCACUACUUUGUUAUAAGAAAACUCUUCUGAACUUUCUUUCUUUUAUUUCUUAUUUCUCUAAUAUUUUUUUUCUCUUAUUUCUCUCUUAUUUUCCACAUUUUGACAAGUAAAAAACAAUUGAUUUUUUUUAAUCUCAGAUGACACCAAUUAAAAGCUUUGUCUAUUGUGAGGCACGGAGUUGCGUCCACAAGAUGGAGAUAUUCACCAGAAUGAAUUUUCUUUUCUAUUGGCCGUACUGGC